GAUGAACGCUGGCGGCGUGCCUAAUACAUGCAAGUCGAGCGAACAGACGAGGAGCUUGCUCCUCUGACGUUAACGGCGGACGGGUGAGUAACACGUGGAUAACCUACCUAUAAGACUGGGAUCACUUCGGGAAACCGGAGCUAAUACCGGAUAAUAUAUUGAACCGCAUGGUUCAAUAGUGCAAGACCGUUUUUCUGUCACGUAUAGAUGGAUCCGCGCCGCAUUAGCUAGUUGGUAAGGUAACGGCUUACCAAGGCAACGAUGCGUAGCCGACCUGAGAGGGUGAUCGGCCACACUGGAACUGAGACACGGUCCAGACUCCUACGGGAGGCAGCAGUAGGGAAUCUUCCGCAAAGGGCGAAAGCCUGACGGAGCAACGCCGCGUGAGUGAUGAAGGUCUUCGGAUCGUAAAACUCUGUUAUUAGGGAAGAACAAAUGUGUAAGUAACUAUGCACGUCUUGACGGUACCUAAUCAGAAAGCCACGGCUAACUACGUG
This 497-nucleotide ribosomal RNA is filed under the name uncultured bacterium. RNAcentral's name for it is "partial 16S ribosomal RNA". It matches the Rfam family "Bacterial small subunit ribosomal RNA", at positions 28 to 507 of the family's 1533-position model. The record is from RNAcentral.